UACGGAGGGUGCAAGCGUUGUCCGGAUUUAUUGGGCUUAAAGGGUGCGUAGGCGGCUCUGUAAGUCAGCGUUGAAAUAUGGCAGCUUAACUGUCAGACUGGCAUUGAUACUGCAGGGCUUGAGUGAAGUCGAGGUUGGCGGAAUUGACGGUGUAGCGGUGAAAUGCAUAGAUAUCGUCAAGAACACCUAUUGCGAAGGCAGCUAACUAGACUUUAACUGACGCUGAGGCACGAAAGCGUGGGGAUCAAACAGG
Molecule: ribosomal RNA, 253 nt
Filed under: uncultured bacterium
Lineage: Bacteria
Description: partial 16S ribosomal RNA
Rfam family: Bacterial small subunit ribosomal RNA
Source: RNAcentral